CCUACGGGUGGCAGCAGUAGGGAAUAUUGCUCAAUGGGGGAAACCCUGAAGCAGCAACGCCGCGUGGAGGAUGAAGGUUUUCGGAUUGUAAACUCCUUUCGUUAGAGAAGAUAAUGACGGUAUCUAACGAAUAAGCACCUGCUAACUCCGGGCCAGCAGCCGCGGUAAUACGGAGGGUGCAAGCGUUACUCGGAAUCACUGGGCGUAAAGAGCGCGGAGGCGGGAUAGCAAGUCAGAUGUGAAAUCCUAGGGCUUAACCAUAGAACUGCAUUUGAAACUGUUAUUCUAGAGUAUGGGAGAGGUAGGUAGAAUUCUUGGUGUAGGGGUAAAAUCCGUAGAGAUCGAGAGGAAUACUCAUUGCGAAGGCGACCUGCUAGAACAUGACUGACGCUGAGGCGCGAAAGCGUGGGGAGCAAACAGGAUUAGAUACCCCUGUAGUC
Molecule: ribosomal RNA, 440 nt
Filed under: uncultured bacterium
Lineage: Bacteria
Description: partial 16S ribosomal RNA
Rfam family: Bacterial small subunit ribosomal RNA
Source: RNAcentral